Betta splendens (Siamese fighting fish) is the source of this 4397-nucleotide long non-coding RNA. RefSeq lists it as uncharacterized. The transcript has 3 exons. Lineage: Eukaryota; Metazoa; Chordata; Actinopteri; Anabantiformes; Osphronemidae. The record is from RefSeq and is a predicted model, not a curated record.
ACAUAAAUACAUAAAUAAUAAAUAAAGGUUAAUAUAUUUAGUAUAGAUCCUUUACAGUAGUUUUAAAUUAGAUAACGUUGUACCCUAAGGCUUCAGGUUUGCCAAUGCAGGGUUUACCUGCUGCCUCUGUGUAUUCAUUAUUCUGCACCCAGUGCGUUACUAUUGUGUCUCCUCGUUCCAUGCAGGGACUGCGGGACAUCUCCACUGUGUUUGUGUGCAUCAGUGAUUCCUGUCAGGCUGCUUUUACUCUGACCGGCCCCGGCAGUGGAACCCGGGUCAUCACAGACUUGUGCUGUGCUUCAGAUAAGACCUGCACCACACACACAUCAUGAGCCUGGUUGCUGUUUCACAGCAGGAUUUGUUGUGUUUGCUGAUUGCUGCUUAAAAUGGCUGCGCCCCAAGUGUUGACCCUAAUUAUUUAGCAGCACAAGCCCAUGUUUCUAAAUGUUUACAUGGAAAUGGUACAUUUGUCAAAAGUAUUGUCAGUAUCCAUAAAGACCAAGCUUGCGUAAAAUAAUAUUAGUGAGUGAAUAUUAGCACCUUUACAUUACGAAAGGCUUAAGAGAUUAUCAUAAAAACCUGUUAAAAAACAAAUAUACAGUAUGCUACAAAGGCUUCAGCUGCACUCAGAUUACGGGGUAUAAAUUAAUUCUGACUCACAUUAAUUAAACACAAGUUAAGACUGUUCACAUUCAACACAACACAUUCAAUAAAAAAAAAGGUUCAGUACCCAUUAACCCCUCACUGAUGUUCACCGUGGUGAGUCUGAACCUAUACUGAUCCUGACAGAAAGUAAUGACCACCUGCUUAAGCUCUAAUGAUCCAUGUUCAGGCUGAUCAAAAAGAACAUCAUCUUACUUUUUCAUGCCAAGUUACCCUGAGCUGUGACGACCGAAGGAACUGUAGCAGUGGGAAAGUAGAUUAUUUAGAUAGAGAACAUCAAAUCUGGGGUACACAAAGACUUCAACCUUUUUAUUUUACAUACAAAAUGUGACAACAAAAUAAAAGUUUGGGUUUUGUGAAGGGGUUUAAUAGGAGACUCUUCCACCUUCUACAGUAAAUAACACAGGCUGAGGCCAAGGGCAGCGAUAUGCAAGACCAUCAUGGUCAACACUCCAAAAAUUAUUCUUGCUAAUAAAACAUAUUUAUAAUUUUUAAGUAUUAUAUAAAUGAAAAAUAGGAUUUUAAAUGAUUGUUUUUUUAAAUAAACAUAAUGCAAAUAUGCUCAAACAUUUAAUGUAUGCAAAAACACCAAAUAACCUUUACCUGAAAUCUGAAAUGAAUGAAUGAAUGGACCAAAAGUUUGGUCAGUAUACACUCUAAAAAGUAAUCAUGACUAAAACCUAAAUUUUAUGUAAUUUAAUUAAAGUUAAUUUUGCAUGUUACCUAUGUCAUCAGUUAAGGGUUAUGUGAAAUAUCUACUAAAAGAUGAGAUAAUAUCUACUCAUAUUAGACAUCCAUGAGGAGGCUCAACUGAGCUUGAGCUGCAAACCCGGUGCUUCACAGGCCAAUUUAUACCAACUGAGCCACCAGAGCAGUACUUUUAUAACUAUUGAUUUUUAAAGCACAAACUCCUUCAAAAAAGUACAAAUUGUAUAAUUUUACAUUAUGUUUAUAUAUUAUAUAUCAGGGUUCAUCGAUAACCAAUCAACUAAUACUAAUAGUUAUAUUUAUUUAUGUUUAGUUAUAAUUGAUAAAGUUAUAUCCAAAUUUGUGGAUUGGUGGCUCAGCGGGUAUACAGUAGUAUUGGACUGGGAAACAGAAGGUUGCUAGUUCAAGUUGAUUCCACCAGGUCCUUGAGUAAGUCACUUCACUGAGUAUGUCCAGUAAGGUAAAGGUGAGAUGUAGAGAAGGAUGUCUGAUAUCUGAAGUUCAUUUCUUUGUCACCUGACAGCUGACAUACCCUAUUUAUUGAUGGAAUCAUAAAUAAUCUGUGGGCUUUGAUUCUUGUAAUGUGAGCAUGUUGAUUUUGUGGUAUAAGCUGCCACAAUCAUAAAAUAAAAUCUACUACUACUACUACUACUACUACUACUACUACUACUACUACUACUACUACUACUACUACUACUACUACUAAUAAUAAUAAUAAUAAUAAUUAAAAAAAUGUCACAUUUUGGAAACAAUAAAUGCACCAGGUAAACAUUUUAGGAAACUUAUUGCUACUUUUUGCUUUAAAAGUCUCACUAAUUGUCAAAAUAAGUUUUACUUUCAAUCUCUACCAGCCGUCAUGUAAAAGGCAGCUCAGGCUGUUCUCGUUCAUCGUUCACAGCUCAGGCUCUGUGGCGAGCAGCAAGCACUCCAGUUCUUUUGUGAUUCAUUCAUACGGACCUCUAUGGAUCGUUCGUUUGUUCAUUUGUCAUGUGACAAUCAGGCCACGCAGGCUCUGUGGCGAGCAGCAAGCAUUCGUAAAUCGUUCCUACGGAUCAUUCGUUUGUUUGUUCAUUUAUCAUGUGACCGCUACCAAAUGACUGUUGCGCUGUUAAACAACAAUGGUUGGGAAGAUGCAGGACAUAAGUCACGUUAAUUUGGUGUGUAUUUCACAUGGUUUGAAUUGCUUGUGGCAUUUUGUGAUUAUAUUUUGUCUGCUGAAGCAAACCAUGGUAUCUUGAGUGUAUACUGUUUGAGAACCGCAAUCUCUCCAUCUCUACCCAGGUGGAAUCACGUGAUAUAAGGCUAGCCGUUAGCCCAUCGUUAUCCCUUUGCACUUCAGAGCUAACAGCUGGGUGAUCGCUACAAUAGGAAAUUGCAGAUGAAUGCGGUUAUGUCUGUUAUUACCCCAUCCUGUGUUACAGCCUAAAUCGAGUUGUAAUUCGGGGUUAUGCCAUUGUUCUAUCAAAUUCUAACAUGUAUGGUAACUGUCGUGUUGAAAGUAGUGAUAGGCAGAUGAAGCUUUAUGAAGCAUUGAAGCCUUUCAUCCAGUAGGUUCAAUCCAGUGCAAAGCUUCUUGAAGCUUCAUUUGCUCUAGUAGGAGAUCUACUGGACGCAACAAUAUCAGUUGGCAUUUGAAGCAUUUGGCACAUGCAGAGAGCCAGUGAAUUAAACUGUCAGCAAAAUAAAGAAGUAUGCAAAACAUGUAUAUUGUAUGUUUUACUGUAUACAUACAUACUGGCAUUACAUAAAAUGAUUAUUUGGAAAUGAUUAUUUACAAUGAGGUGAGGGUAUGCACAAUGAUUGUGCUUUUGUUAUGGCCAGUGAUUAUGGUUUAGGAGACACAUCAUUGUUUUUUUUAUUUAAAAACAUCAGUUUCUCUACUGUGGCAGAUUUAUUUUUUGACAUUAUUUCUUCUGCUUUGGAAUACAGCUGCUCACAGGGUUUUGCCACUGCUAACGUACAUAAAUGGGGAUAGACAUAUUUCUGUCUCUUGCAGUGUUGGAGCCCGUGGGAAAAUCCGAACCGCUUCCUAAAUCAGUCACGUGGUACAGCCGGGCCGCGAGGAGUUGUGCGUCAUCAAUUUCAGCCCCGCCCCUAAAUGAAGCGAGCCUCGGGGGGCACAUCCCUGUUACCCACAGGCAAGGAGGUUGUCAAACAGAGAAAUCACUGGAGACUUGGUACUCAGACUUCUGCUGUUUAGAUCAGGAGUGAAGUACCUUUUUGUUUUGAUGAGGUGAUAGUGAGGACAGCCGCAGCCUCCAUCUGGUAGACCCCUGGUCAUCUGUCUACAACUACAGUAUACCUGUCCUGCUGCAGAAACAAAUCUGCAACAUAAUCAAGUUUACCCCCUACCCAGGACAUGGUCUGUUUACCCUACUUCCAUCAAGCAUUUCAUCUGCAACGCCCUGCAAAAGCUUCUGUCCUCAAACCUCCAGACUUCUUAAUUAACUCAGUAACCUAUACAUUGCACAUUGGAGUGUGAAGAUAACAGUUUGUUCCAGCUUUGGAGUAGUGGUGCAUUUUUUGGUUAACAAUAAUGUCUGCUUUAACUGUUACAUCAUUCACUGAACUCUGUUUUUCUGAGGGGAAAACACUUUUAUUCAGGAAAUCAUAGUAUUGAAAUUACAUGUUUUUCUCUUUCUAAUAUGGUAAGCUAUAAAGGUGAACUGGCCAUAAGAAUGUGUAAAUAUAAAUUAAAAAUUCAAUUGUUUAAAAAGAUUCUUAAUGAGUAUUGAACACACAAAAAACACAUUUCUACUCAAAUGGUAAAGGAGUUAUUCCACAGGUGGUCUACAUCCAUCAUACAGUGAUCAUCAUUUAGUGUUUUAUCCAUCAGGAAACUCUGCCUUCAUCUACAUCCCAAGCAUGAAGAGAUGGCAACUCAUUCUUCACCCCAGGAAUCCCCAGGACGAGAUUACUAGCCUCUGUAGACUAGAUACCUGUAACAACUUCAGAGACAUAUUACUGUCAGAUUUAUCAAGAAUGAUCAAAAAACAUUAAUAAAAAACAUAACUAGAAACAUGUCA